RNAcentral lists this long non-coding RNA (494 nucleotides) under Fukomys damarensis (Damara mole-rat). RNAcentral's name for it is "lncRNA (ENSFDAG00000021855.1)". The record is from RNAcentral. Lineage: Eukaryota; Metazoa; Chordata; Mammalia; Rodentia; Bathyergidae.
UUGGGAAGGUUUACUUGCUCAAUUUGAGCAUUUUGAUAUUUGAAGGCAAAAUAUUAGUAACGACAGUUAUUUGAAUAAAAUGGCAUUAUUACAUUGUAGAGUUACUGAUUUUUUUAAAAAUAUAUAAUUUGAAAGUAACGUGACCUUUUUCAUUUCAGCCUUUAGUUAAUGAAGCUAAACUUGCAGUGGGAAACAUUAAGCCAGAAUCUCUUUCAGAAAUUCGCUCACUACGUAUGCCACCUGAUAUAAUCCGAGACAUUCUGGAAGGAGUUUUAAGGUUGAUGGGCAUUUUUGAUACCUCUUGGGUGAGCAUGAAAAGUUUCCUUGCUAAAAGAGGUAUCAGAGAAGACAUUGCAACCUUUGAUGCACGAAAUAUUCCAAAGGAAAUAAGAGAGAGUGUUGAAGAACUUCUUUUCAAAAAUAAAGGUUCUUUUGAUCCAAAGGUAAAUUUUAACAGUUGUACCAUAAUUUUCUUUUCUUUACUACAUAAUUUU